This 724-nucleotide ribosomal RNA is filed under the name Bathycoccus prasinos. RNAcentral's name for it is "partial Bacterial small subunit ribosomal RNA". It matches the Rfam family "Bacterial small subunit ribosomal RNA", at positions 11 to 769 of the family's 1533-position model. The record is from RNAcentral. Lineage: Eukaryota; Viridiplantae; Chlorophyta; Mamiellophyceae; Mamiellales; Bathycoccaceae.
GUUUGAUCCUGGCUCAGAAUGAACGCUAGCGAUAAGCUUAACACAUGCAAGUUGAAUGUUGUCGUACAACAUGGCGUACGGGUGAGUAAGGCGUAAGAAUCUACCAAAAAAUUGUGGGUCAAUCCUCAAUAUCUCGUGGACGAGUAAAGAUAUCUGGUAUCGUUUUUUGGUGAGCUUACGUAAGAUUAGAUAGUUGGUAAGGUAAAAGCUUACCAAGUCGAUGAUCUUUCAUUGGUCUUAGCGGACGACCAAUCACAUCGGGACUGAGAGACGGCCCGAACUCUUGAUGGAGGCAGCAGUGAGGAAUCUUGGACACUGGGCGCAAGCCUGAUCCAGCUAUAUCGCGUGGGUGACGAAGGUUAUAUUGAUUGUAAAACCCUUUCAUUGAAAAAAAACGGUACACCGUUUUUUGGAGACUUUGACAUGAAUCAAAGAAGAAGCUCCGGCAAAUUCUGUGCCAGCAGCCGCGGUAAGACAGGAGGAGCGAGUGUUAUUCGAAUUAAUUGGGCGUAAAGGGCAUGUAGGUGGAGAGAUGUAGUUGUUUGUGAAAGUCCAAAGGGUUUCUUUGGGUGUGCAUUCAAGACGGUUUCUUCUCUUUGAGGGUGUAAGAGGAAAAUAGAAUUUCCAGAGGAGAGGUUAAAUUCUUAGAUUUUGGAAGGAAUACCUAAUGCGAAGGCAAUUUUCUGGUGCACUCCUGACACUGAGGUGCGAAAGCGCGGGGAGC